Molecule: ribosomal RNA, 2783 nt
Filed under: Escherichia coli
Lineage: Bacteria; Pseudomonadati; Pseudomonadota; Gammaproteobacteria; Enterobacterales; Enterobacteriaceae
Description: partial 23S ribosomal RNA
Rfam family: Bacterial large subunit ribosomal RNA
Source: RNAcentral
GGGUUGUGAGGUUAAGCGACUAAGCGUACACGGUGGAUGCCCUGGCAGUCAGAGGCGAUGAAGGACGUGCUAAUCUGCGAUAAGCGUCGGUAAGGUGAUAUGAACCGUUAUAACCGGCGAUUUCCGAAUGGGGAAACCCAGUGUGUUUCGACACACUAUCAUUAACUGAAUCCAUAGGUUAAUGAGGCGAACCGGGGGAACUGAAACAUCUAAGUACCCCGAGGAAAAGAAAUCAACCGAGAUUCCCCCAGUAGCGGCGAGCGAACGGGGAGCAGCCCAGAGCCUGAAUCAGUGUGUGUGUUAGUGGAAGCGUCUGGAAAGGCGCGCGAUACAGGGUGACAGCCCCGUACACAAAAAUGCACAUGCUGUGAGCUCGAUGAGUAGGGCGGGACACGUGGUAUCCUGUCUGAAUAUGGGGGGACCAUCCUCCAAGGCUAAAUACUCCUGACUGACCGAUAGUGAACCAGUACCGUGAGGGAAAGGCGAAAAGAACCCCGGCGAGGGGAGUGAAAAAGAACCUGAAACCGUGUACGUACAAGCAGUGGGAGCACGCUUAGGCGUGUGACUGCGUACCUUUUGUAUAAUGGGUCAGCGACUUAUAUUCUGUAGCAAGGUUAACCGAAUAGGGGAGCCGAAGGGAAACCGAGUCUUAACUGGGCGUUAAGUUGCAGGGUAUAGACCCGAAACCCGGUGAUCUAGCCAUGGGCAGGUUGAAGGUUGGGUAACACUAACUGGAGGACCGAACCGACUAAUGUUGAAAAAUUAGCGGAUGACUUGUGGCUGGGGGUGAAAGGCCAAUCAAACCGGGAGAUAGCUGGUUCUCCCCGAAAGCUAUUUAGGUAGCGCCUCGUGAAUUCAUCUCCGGGGGUAGAGCACUGUUUCGGCAAGGGGGUCAUCCCGACUUACCAACCCGAUGCAAACUGCGAAUACCGGAGAAUGUUAUCACGGGAGACACACGGCGGGUGCUAACGUCCGUCGUGAAGAGGGAAACAACCCAGACCGCCAGCUAAGGUCCCAAAGUCAUGGUUAAGUGGGAAACGAUGUGGGAAGGCCCAGACAGCCAGGAUGUUGGCUUAGAAGCAGCCAUCAUUUAAAGAAAGCGUAAUAGCUCACUGGUCGAGUCGGCCUGCGCGGAAGAUGUAACGGGGCUAAACCAUGCACCGAAGCUGCGGCAGCGACGCUGAUGCGUUGUUGGGUAGGGGAGCGUUCUGUAAGCCUGCGAAGGUGUGCUGUGAGGCAUGCUGGAGGUAUCAGAAGUGCGAAUGCUGACAUAAGUAACGAUAAAGCGGGUGAAAAGCCCGCUCGCCGGAAGACCAAGGGUUCCUGUCCAACGUUAAUCGGGGCAGGGUGAGUCGACCCCUAAGGCGAGGCCGAAAGGCGUAGUCGAUGGGAAACAGGUUAAUAUUCCUGUACUUGGUGUUACUGCGAAGGGGGGACGGAGAAGGCUAUGUUGGCCGGGCGACGGUUGUCCCGGUUUAAGCGUGUAGGCUGGUUUUCCAGGCAAAUCCGGAAAAUCAAGGCUGAGGCGUGAUGACGAGGCACUACGGUGCUGAAGCAACAAAUGCCCUGCUUCCAGGAAAAGCCUCUAAGCAUCAGGUAACAUCAAAUCGUACCCCAAACCGACACAGGUGGUCAGGUAGAGAAUACCAAGGCGCUUGAGAGAACUCGGGUGAAGGAACUAGGCAAAAUGGUGCCGUAACUUCGGGAGAAGGCACGCUGAUAUGUAGGUGAAGUCCCUCGCGGAUGGAGCUGAAAUCAGUCGAAGAUACCAGCUGGCUGCAACUGUUUAUUAAAAACACAGCACUGUGCAAACACGAAAGUGGACGUAUACGGUGUGACGCCUGCCCGGUGCCGGAAGGUUAAUUGAUGGGGUUAGCCGCAAGGCGAAGCUCUUGAUCGAAGCCCCGGUAAACGGCGGCCGUAACUAUAACGGUCCUAAGGUAGCGAAAUUCCUUGUCGGGUAAGUUCCGACCUGCACGAAUGGCGUAAUGAUGGCCAGGCUGUCUCCACCCGAGACUCAGUGAAAUUGAACUCGCUGUGAAGAUGCAGUGUACCCGCGGCAAGACGGAAAGACCCCGUGAACCUUUACUAUAGCUUGACACUGAACAUUGAGCCUUGAUGUGUAGGAUAGGUGGGAGGCUUUGAAGUGUGGACGCCAGUCUGCAUGGAGCCGACCUUGAAAUACCACCCUUUAAUGUUUGAUGUUCUAACGUGGACCCGUGAUCCGGGUUGCGGACAGUGUCUGGUGGGUAGUUUGACUGGGGCGGUCUCCUCCUAAAGAGUAACGGAGGAGCACGAAGGUUGGCUAAUCCUGGUCGGACAUCAGGAGGUUAGUGCAAUGGCAUAAGCCAGCUUGACUGCGAGCGUGACGGCGCGAGCAGGUGCGAAAGCAGGUCAUAGUGAUCCGGUGGUUCUGAAUGGAAGGGCCAUCGCUCAACGGAUAAAAGGUACUCCGGGGAUAACAGGCUGAUACCGCCCAAGAGUUCAUAUCGACGGCGGUGUUUGGCACCUCGAUGUCGGCUCAUCACAUCCUGGGGCUGAAGUAGGUCCCAAGGGUAUGGCUGUUCGCCAUUUAAAGUGGUACGCGAGCUGGGUUUAGAACGUCGUGAGACAGUUCGGUCCCUAUCUGCCGUGGGCGCUGGAGAACUGAGGGGGGCUGCUCCUAGUACGAGAGGACCGGAGUGGACGCAUCACUGGUGUUCGGGUUGUCAUGCCAAUGGCACUGCCCGGUAGCUAAAUGCGGAAGAGAUAAGUGCUGAAAGCAUCUAAGCACGAAACUUGCC